Molecule: long non-coding RNA, 4651 nt
Organism: Mytilus californianus (California mussel)
Lineage: Eukaryota; Metazoa; Mollusca; Bivalvia; Mytilida; Mytilidae
Exons: 56
Source: RefSeq, a predicted model, not a curated record
UCCAUUUUGAUGUUCUAGCAAACACGUUACACUGAACGGCUGUUCACACACAUUACAUUGUUUUUUUGAAAAUUUCAUCUAUAUUAAAGGUACCUGCCUCUCUCAAUUUCAAGAUUGUGUGCACUCAGCCUAAGUUUUGCCAUAGGUGCCCUAUCAUUGAUGAGAAGAUUUAAGGAAAAAAUUACAGAGAAAUCCAAUAACUAGCAGAAAAUUCGAACAACCUAAGGUUUUGAGUAGGCAAUGUAAAGGUAAUGCUGCUAUCUCUGCAAUAACCAAACAGUGUGGUAAGAAUACAGUCUAGUUAUACAUGAUACAGCCUAAAUAUGUUGCACUCCUAGACAGAAGAAGAUGGAUUCAUGGCACAUAGGAAGAGUCAACAUCCCAGAUAUGUUCCACUCCCACACAAUGUAGAUGGUUUCAUGGUAGAUGGCACAUUAGGAUGUUUAACAUAUACAGCCUAAAUAUGUUACACUCCUAGACAAUGAAGAUGGUUUCAUGGUAGAUUGAUCACUCAUCUGGAGACAUAGCAUAUACAGACUAGAUAUGUUACACUCCUUGACAAUGAAGAUGCUUUCAUGGUAUAUAGCACACGAAGAUACAUAUCAUAUACAUCCUAAAUAUGUUACUCUUCGACAAUGAGAUGGUUUCAUUGUAUAUAGCACAUUAGGAUUAGUUACAUAUAGCCUAAAUAUGUAAGACUCCUAUACCAUAAAAGAUGCUUCCAUUGGAGAUAGCAUAUUAGGAUUAGUCACAUAUAGCCUAAAUAUGUAAGACUCCUAUGCCAUGAAAGAUGCUUCCAUUGCAGAUGCACAUUAGGAAUAGUCACAUAUUAUACAGCCUAAAUAUGUAACACUCCUAUACCAUGAAAGAUGCUGUCAUUGUAGAUAGCACAUUAGGAUGUUGCACAUAUACAGCCUAAAUAUGUUGCACUCCUAGACAGAAGAAGAUGGAUUCAUGGCACAUAGGAAGAGUCAACAUCCCAGAUAUGUUCCACUCCCACACAAUGUAGAUGGUUUCAUGGUAGAUGGCACAUUAGGAUGUUUAACAUAUACAGCCUAAAUAUGUUACACUCCUAGACAAUGAAGAUGGUUUCAUGGUAGAUUGAUCACUCAUCUGGAGACAUAGCAUAUACAGACUAGAUAUGUUACACUCCUUGACAAUGAAGAUGCUUUCAUGGUAUAAAGCACACGAAGAUACAUAUCAUAUACAGCCUAAAUAUGUUACUCUUCGACAAUGAGAUGGUUUCAUUGUAUAUAGCACAUUAGGAUUAGUUACAUAUAGCCUAAAUAUGUAAGACUCCCAUACCAUGAAAGAUGCUUCCAUUGGAGAUAGCAUAUUAGGAUUAGUCACAUAUAGCCUAAAUAUGUAAGACUCCUAUGCCAUGAAAGAUGCUUCCAUUGCAGAUGCACAUUAGGAAUAGUCACAUAUUAUACAGCCUAAAUAUGUAACACUCCUAUACCAUGAAAGAUGCUGUCAUUGUAGAUAGCACAUUAGGAUGUUGCACAUAUACAGCCUAAAUAUGUUGCACUCCUAGACAGAAGAAGAUGGAUUCAUGGCACAUAGGAAGAGUCAACAUCCCAGAUAUGUUCCACUCCCACACAAUGUAGAUGGUUUCAUGGUAGAUGGCACAUUAGGAUGUUUAACAUAUACAGCCUAAAUAUGUUACACUCCUAGACAAUGAAGAUGGUUUCAUGGUAGAUUGAUCACUCAUCUGGAGACAUAGCAUAUACAGACUAGAUAUGUUACACUCCUUGACAAUGAAGAUGCUUUCAUGGUAUAUAGCACACGAAGAUACAUAUCAUAUACAGCCUAAAUAUGUUACUCUUCGACAAUGAGAUGGUUUCAUUGUAUAUAGCACAUUAGGAUUAGUUACAUAUAGCCUAAAUAUGUAAGACUCCUAUACCAUGAAAGAUGCUUCCAUUGCAGAUAGCAUAUUAGGAUUAGUCACAUAUAGCCUAAAUAUGUAAGACUCCUAUGCCAUGAAAGAUGCUUCCAUUGCAGAUGCACAUUAGGAAUAGUCACAUAUUAUACAGCCUAAAUAUGUAACACUCCUAUACCAUGAAAGAUGCUGUCAUUGUAGAUAGCACAUUAGGAUGUUGCACAUAUACAGCCUAAAUAUGUUGCACUCCUAGACAGAAGAAGAUGGAUUCAUGGCACAUAGGAAGAGUCAACAUCCCAGAUAUGUUCCACUCCCACACAAUGUAGAUGGUUUCAUGGUAGAUGGCACAUUAGGAUGUUUAACAUAUACAGCCUAAAUAUGUUACACUCCUAGACAAUGAAGAUGGUUUCAUGGUAGAUUGAUCACUCAUCUGGAGACAUAGCAUAUACAGACUAGAUAUGUUACACUCCUUGACAAUGAAGAUGCUUUCAUGGUAUAAAGCACACGAAGAUACAUAUCAUAUACAGCCUAAAUAUGUUACUCUUCGACAAUGAGAUGGUUUCAUUGUAUAUAGCACAUUAGGAUUAGUUACAUAUAGCCUAAAUAUGUAAGACUCCCAUACCAUGAAAGAUGCUUCCAUUGGAGAUAGCAUAUUAGGAUUAGUCACAUAUAGCCUAAAUAUGUAAGACUCCUAUGCCAUGAAAGAUGCUUCCAUUGCAGAUGCACAUUAGGAAUAGUCACAUAUUAUACAGCCUAAAUAUGUAACACUCCUAUACCAUGAAAGAUGCUGUCAUUGUAGAUAGCACAUUAGGAUGUUGCACAUAUACAGCCUAAAUAUGUUGCACUCCUAGACAGAAGAAGAUGGAUUCAUGGCACACAGGAAGAGUCAACAUCCCAGAUAUGUUCCACUCCCACACAAUGUAGAUGGUUUCAUGGUAGAUGGCACAUUAGGAUGUUUAACAUAUACAGCCUAAAUAUGUUACACUCCUAGACAAUGAAGAUGGUUUCAUGGUAGAUUGAUCACUCAUCUGGAGACAUAGCAUAUACAGACUAGAUAUGUUACACUCCUUGACAAUGAAGAUGCUUUCAUGGUAUAUAGCACACGAAGAUACAUAUCAUAUACAGCCUAAAUAUGUUACUCUUCGACAAUGAGAUGGUUUCAUUGUAUAUAGCACAUUAGGAUUAGUUACAUAUAGCCUAAAUAUGUAAGACUCCUAUACCAUGAAAGAUGCUUCCAUUGCAGAUAGCAUAUUAGGAUUAGUCACAUAUAGCCUAAAUAUGUAAGACUCCUAUGCCAUGAAAGAUGCUUCCAUUGCAGAUGCACAUUAGGAAUAGUCACAUAUUAUACAGCCUAAAUAUGUAACACUCCUAUACCAUGAAAGAUGCUGUCAUUGUAGAUAGCACAUUAGGAUGUUGCACAUAUACAGCCUAAAUAUGUUGCACUCCUAGACAGAAGAAGAUGGAUUCAUGGCACAUAGGAAGAGUCAACAUCCCAGAUAUGUUCCACUCCCACACAAUGUAGAUGGUUUCAUGGUAGAUGGCACAUUAGGAUGUUUAACAUAUACAGCCUAAAUAUGUUACACUCCUAGACAAUGAAGAUGGUUUCAUGGUAGAUUGAUCACUCAUCUGGAGACAUAGCAUAUACAGACUAGAUAUGUUACACUCCUUGACAAUGAAGAUGCUUUCAUGGUAUAUAGCACACGAAGAUACAUAUCAUAUACAGCCUAAAUAUGUUACUCUUCGACAAUGAGAUGGUUUCAUUGUAUAUAGCACAUUAGGAUUAGUUACAUAUAGCCUAAAUAUGUAAGACUCCUAUACCAUGAAAGAUGCUUCCAUUGCAGAUAGCAUAUUAGGAUUAGUCACAUAUAGCCUAAAUAUGUAAGACUCCUAUGCCAUGAAAGAUGCUUCCAUUGCAGAUGCACAUUAGGAAUAGUCACAUAUUAUACAGCCUAAAUAUGUAACACUCCUAUACCAUGAAAGAUGCUGUCAUUGUAGAUAGCACAUUAGGAUGUUGCACAUAUACAGCCUAAAUAUGUUGCACUCCUAGACAGAAGAAGAUGGAUUCAUGGCACAUAGGAAGAGUCAACAUCCCAGAUAUGUUCCACUCCCACACAAUGUAGAUGGUUUCAUGGUAGAUGGCACAUUAGGAUGUUUAACAUAUACAGCCUAAAUAUGUUACACUCCUAGACAAUGAAGAUGGUUUCAUGGUAGAUUGAUCACUCCUCUGGAUACAUAGCAUAUACAGACUAGAUAUGUUACACUCCUUGACAAUGAAGAUGCUUUCAUGGUAUAUAGCACACGAAGAUACAUAUCAUAUGCUAAUUAUAUGAUAUUUCAGUAGUAGAAGGUGCAGCAUGGCAGCAAUAUGAUAUUUCAGUAGUAUAAGGUGCAGCAUGGCAGCAGAAGAUGUUACAUGGAGAAUCGUGAAGAGACAGUUUAAUUCUUUAGAGGAUAAAUAAUAUUAUAGUUUAUAGAUUUAUAGUUUAUAAAUUCUUUAAAGUUCAAACAGAUGAGAAUUUGCCAAGUGCCCUCAAUAUGUCUACAAUGAUAUAACAUUCAUAAUUAAGAAUGUAUUGUAAACCUCUUUUUCAAUAUUCAUAUUAAAGGAAGUAGAUUGUCAAUUUCGAUAUUUACUUAUUUACCUUAAAUUUUAUUAAGUAAUUGGAACAAUAUGUCUUUAUUUAGAUUGUUUGAAAUUCAAGUUCAAAAUGUAUUUACAUCAGAUAGUUUGGGUUUGCCAGCAACUUCAGUUGUAUUAUAGUAUAGCCAAAA